AGAGAUCAUGGCUCAGAAUCAACGCUGGCGGCGUGCCUAACACAUGCAAGUCGAACGCGAAAGGGGAGCAAUCCCUGAGUAGAGUGGCAAACGGGUGAGUAACACGUGGGUGACCUGCCUUCGAGUGGGGGAUAACGUCCCGAAAGGGACGCUAAUACCGCAUGACAUCCUGCUUUUGGAAAAGCGGAGAUCAAAGCUGGGGAUCGCAAGACCUGGCGCUUGAAGAGGGGCCCGCGCCUGAUUAGCUAGUUGGUGAGGUAAUGGCUCACCAAGGCUACGAUCAGUAUCCGGCCUGAGAGGGCGGACGGACACACUGGGACUGAGACACGGCCCAGACUCCUACGGGAGGCAGCAGUGGGGAAUUGUUCGCAAUGGGCGCAAGCCUGACGACGCAACGCCGCGUGGAGGAUGAAGAUCUUCGGGUCGUAAACUCCUGUCGAGCGGGAAGAACAGCUUCGGAGUGAAUAUCUCUGAGGCCUGACGGUACCGCUAAAGGAAGCCCCGGCUAACUCCGUGCCAGCAGCCGCGGUAAUACGGGGGGGGCAAGCGUUGUUCGGAAUUACUGGGCGUAAAGGGCUCGUAGGCGGCCAACUAAGUCAGACGUGAAAUCCCCAGGCUCAACCUGGGAACUGCGUCUGAUACUGGAUGGCUUGAAUUCGGGAGAGGGAUGCAGAAUUCCAGGUGUAGCGGUGAAAUGCGUAGAUAUCUGGAGGAAUACCGGUGGCGAAGGCGGCAUCCUGGACCGACAUUGACGCUGAAGAGCGAAGGCUAGGGAGCAAACGGGAUUAGAUACCCCCGGUAGUCCUAGCCCUAAAACGAUGAAUGCUUGGGGUACGGGUAUCGAUCCCUGUUGUGCC
Molecule: ribosomal RNA, 857 nt
Filed under: uncultured Acidobacteriota bacterium
Lineage: Bacteria; Pseudomonadati; Acidobacteriota
Description: bacterial SSU rRNA
Rfam family: Bacterial small subunit ribosomal RNA
Source: RNAcentral